ACCCUCUCCUCUCCCACUCCCUCUCCCAUUCCAUUCACAUCAAGAUUCAUUUUCAAUUUUCUUUAUAUACAGAAGAUCAAUUUAGCAUAUAUUAAGUACAGAUUUCAACAGUUUGCACCCACACAGAACAUAAAGUGUAAAAUACUGUUUGAGUACUAGUUAUAGCAUUAAUUCACAUUGAACAACACAUUAAGGACAGAGAUCCUACAUGAGGAGUAAGUGUGCAGUGACUCCUGUUGUUGACUUAACAAAUUACACUCUUUUUUAUGGCGUCAGUAAUCUCCCUGGGCUCUAGUCAUGAGUUGCCUUUUCAGUUCGCCAACUUCGAUCUUAUUUAGACAAGGUUACAGUCAAAGUGGAAGUUCUCCCUUCAGAGAAAGGCACCUCCUUCUUUGAUGGCCUGUUCUUUCCACUGGGAUCUCACUCACAGAGAUCUUUCAUUUCGUUUUUUGUUGUUGUUGUUGUUGUUGUUGUUGUUGUUUUGUUUUGUUUUGUUUUUUGCCAGACUGUCUUGGCUUUCCAUGCCUAAAAUACUCUCAUGGGCUCUUUUGUCGCUGUUUCCUUUGGGUUUUCUUAAGCACUGCUUAAAUAGGGCCUGAGUCUUGGCAUUUCUUAGGUGCAAAUCCCAGUUGUUAUAUAGGAGUGGUAAGAUGAAUGGAGAGGGAGCUCAUUCCAUGGUCCUAUGAUUGCAUCUGUCUUUCUGUGAGCCUGGGUCACACAGCUCCCUGCUCCCCCCAGAAAGGCUUGAAUAGGAGGGAGUGUGGUAUUUCUCUGUCUCCAGGUCAGAGAAGGCUUUGGUAAAAUAGCAGCUGGUUAGGCUCUGCUUGAUAGUUUCCUUUUCCAGUACAGCUUAUGAAUAGGAACAAAAAGGGGCUGGGGUUGAGGUGUAGCGGGUUGGGCCACUGUCUGCAAUGCCAGCCUUCCAUAUGGGCAACGGUUUGCGUCCCAGCUGCUCCAUUUGUUCCAGGCUCCUGGCUUUGGCCUGGCCCAGCCCUGGGCCACCGUGGCCAUUUUGGGGGUAAACCGGGAGAUGGAAGAUGUUUCUCUCUUUGUCUCGCCUUCUCUCUAAUUCUGACUUUCAAAUAAAUAAACACAUACAUAAUGCUUAAAUAGGAGUGAAAAGGUCUCGGUGUGUUUCAAACUGGUUCCUCUUUCUCUCUUAUGCACAGAAGCACCAGAGACCCUGGACAUGAUGCUCACAAGGCUGAGGCCUCCCUUAAGACUGGGCUCGCUUGGGCCUUAUAACUCUCAAGCUAUUCUCUCCUGAGCCACCAGCUGUUUGCCAAUGCCUAUUUAAUGGUUCCCACUGACACAGGUGCCUCUUGGGCGCUGCUGCUUCCUGAACUCCCUGGUGCUCUGUGUCGGCCCCUCUGCGGCUCUGGGAUUCCGGGCAGCAGCAUGCUUCCUGGCCCCAGAUCUCUGAUGGCUCCAAGAAGACAUGUUCUUCAGUUCAUUCAGCACUUUUCCCGCGGGGAAGAAGGAUAUGACGGCUUCUUGGGUCUUCACAUGCCAGUUUGGAAAGACAAAGACCUCUUGCUAUCCAUCUUUAGUUUGGUUGUCGCCUCCCUAGUGCAUGAUAGAUUUUUCUUGUACAUUCUGGAUUGUGAUGUCAUUUCUCUUUCAGUUUCCGUUUUCAGUUUCUCUCUGCUGGUGUAUUUCCUAUGUGGACCUUGUCUUCUGAAAACUUGAUAAAUUAAAUGACCAGCUCUAGUGGCAUGCUUGUAGAUCCUGGAGGAUUUUUAGACACAUAAUGAUGUUGUCUACAAAUAUGUUUAUUUGUGGUUUUUUGUUUUGUUUUGUUUUUUUUCUCCCUACAGUAUUGUGUUUUUUUUCUUGACUUAUUGGCACUAUCUAAAGCAUCAUGGACAAAAACGAAUUAAAUGCCGGGAGAACACAGAAAUUUUAAUUCCAGCUGUCAAAUAGUAGGAUCGAACUAAAUGUCCGUCAGCAGAUGUAAAGAAGUGUAACUUUGGACUCGAGAAGAUACACCAAACAACUCUUUUUUGGGUUGCUUUUGUGAAUAAUACAUUAACAAGCUUUCAGAAGUCAUCUUUUCGACUUAAAAGUGAGAAGAGAGAAGGGAAAAACUAAUUUGCAAGAGGCAGAAUUUUGGGUUCUCUGUUGACUUAUUUUAAAAUGACUUCAUCCUUCUGAGCCUUGCUUUAGU
Oryctolagus cuniculus (rabbit) is the source of this 2167-nucleotide non-coding RNA. The record is from RefSeq and is a predicted model, not a curated record. Lineage: Eukaryota; Metazoa; Chordata; Mammalia; Lagomorpha; Leporidae.